This 326-nucleotide ribosomal RNA is filed under the name uncultured eukaryote. RNAcentral's name for it is "partial 18S ribosomal RNA". It matches the Rfam family "Eukaryotic small subunit ribosomal RNA", at positions 1470 to 1796 of the family's 1831-position model. The record is from RNAcentral.
CCCUUAGAUGUUCUGGGCUGCACGCGCGCUACACUGAUGCACUCAACGAGUUUACGACCUUGCCCGAUAGGGUUGGGUAAUCUUUUUAAAAUGCAUCGUGAUGGGGAUAGAUUAUUGCAAUUAUUAAUCUUCAACGAGGAAUUCCUAGUAAGCGCGAGUCAUCAGCUCGUGCUGAUUACGUCCCUGCCCUUUGUACACACCGCCCGUCGCUCCUACCGAUUGAGUGCUCAGGUGAAUAAUUCGGACUGCAGCAAUGUUUGGAUCCCGAACGUUGCAGCGGAAAGUUUAGUGAACCGUAUCACUUAGAGGAAGGAGAAGUCGUAACA